AUUCGCCCUUGAGAAGUCGUAACAAGGUUUCCGUAGGUGACCUGCGGAAGGAUCAUUC
RNAcentral lists this ribosomal RNA (58 nucleotides) under Babesia gibsoni. Its description in RNAcentral is "partial 18S ribosomal RNA". The record is from RNAcentral. Lineage: Eukaryota; Apicomplexa; Aconoidasida; Piroplasmida; Babesiidae.